UGCUCUCAGUCGGUGUGGAUGAGGCAAAUUGCUCUGCUGUGUGGCUGAGCUCUUACUAGUGGGUGAACUUUAGCUAUAUUUAAGAGCUGCAGCAUUUAUGCUCUCUGAGAUGUACCUAGAUGAUUUUGUCUGCAGAGGUGGAGUUAUCUUUGUGCCUAUAUUUCUAUAACCUUAGGGGAUUAAGUGGAAACUCAGUGUGGUUUGCUGUCAGCAACCAAAUAGGGAUGUAGCAGGCUUAAGGCAAGGAGUAAGCAGUGUUUUGUGCUGUUAACAGAGGAGUGAGAGGGAGAAUAGGAUUGUCUUGGAUCUUGUUAGUCUGUAAAAUAAAUGAAGUGGUAUUUAUUGCUGUUUAUGGAAACUCCUCAGAGCUCUGCCAUUAGGAGAAAAGGCGUUCUCUGUUCUGAGUUGUGUUUUUUUCCAGCCUACCUGGAGAAAAUGUUUUGAGGUAGGCUGUAAUAACUGAAGUGUAACCUGCUCAGCAUUUCUUACUGGAACCAUCUGACCAGCUCUGUGUUAGCUGCACAGUAUGAGCUCAGCAGAGGUUGGUGCUCAGGGUGGAGAGGGUGAAAAGAUGUGGAUUGUUGUCAGAGAGUGCCUCUGGUUUGCAGGUAUGAUGUUGAUUCACACAUGUGUAACUCCUCCUAACAUGAAUUUCCAGUGUUUCCAAGCCAGCUGUUGGACUCGUUCUCAAACAGCUUGAAAGCCGUUAAUCACUGCUGUGUACUCUUAAACCAAAGACACGGACUUCGACUUCCUUCUCCUAGACAAGUCCUACAUGAAUUACUCAUUGACACCUCCACUGAGAGAACCAUCAGUGCAACAAACAUCCUUUCCUCCCUUUCAACUUCUCAGCAGAAGAAAGGUGUUGCUUUCACUUCAAAGCCCCUUGCUGAUCACCUUCAGGACUGGCUGUGGAGCUGGGCUGGAUGCAGAGGAGCCGGCUGUGUCCUGCACGCAGGCACUAUGCCAUGCACCACUCAGCUUCUUUGAGCACCAGCAAGGUCAGCCCCUUAUAUUUAAAUUUUUUUUCUCUAUUUGUGAACCUCAGUCAAUUUAAAAGGAAUGACUCUGGGUUGACAGCAGUCAUUCUCUUACUAGAUUAAGAAGAAAUAAGGAAAAAUCAAAUCAAGCUGGUAGCCCAAAUAUUCCUGAAGAUCUUGGUAGGGAGCAAUUCCAUCCUAUGUUAUUAAAACCGAAGUGAUGGCAAUGACAGCGCUCAGCUUUUCUCAACACUGCAAAUAUCUUUCUUGGGAGUAUAUAAAGAUUGCAGAGUAUAUAAGGGUUGCAGAAGGUGCAGGAGUCUAUCUGAGGAAGGUGGUGGUGAUCUACAGGGUACAAAGGCAACUUUUGGUCUCAAUUUCUACAUUUUGAAGUAAGAUUUGAAGGAAUUCUCAUUAUUGUUCCUUUUCUACAAUUUCUUUUUUUCAGUGAGUUAUUAUUAACACAAGAACUGCUGCUGUUUAUUUCAGUAUAAUCUAGCUGCAGGUUAUUAGUUCUCAGAAUCUGCAGGCACCAUUCAUUCAGUAGCCUAAAAAAGGUGAUGAACAAGGAGUUUUAUAACCCAGCUCUAAUGAUGGAAACUGGAAAGAAUUUCCAUUUGCUCACCCACCACCUUCAGCAUCACACCCAGAUUCACUCACUUGUGCUGCCUCACAGGACAGUGCUCAAGCUGAGCGCUGUCACCAGUGAAAGGGCCAUAAAGCUGUCUGGUCUACUGCCUAUCUGCUCCUCCUCAUUUUUUCCUAAUGUUUAUCACAUUUCUUCUAUAUUGCAUUUCACAUUCAUUAUUACUUCAUCUGUCACUAUGUACUAUUGACAAUGUCUUGGUUUUUUUACUCUCUGGGGUAACUCUGUAUUUACUGAAACUCCUCAGUGGGAAGCUCAGUCCUUUGGUGUCUAGUGCAGAAAAGAACAAGCUGCAUGGAUGUGUAUCUGUAUCUCUUGGUUAUGCAAAUGCAGCUUGAAAUGUUUGUCCUUGAACUGCUGCUGAAAGCUUUUCAAGACAGAUAAUGAGCACUGUAAGAACUAGUACUAGCAUUAGGCUCAGAAAAAAACAUAAGAAGAAAUCUUGCUUUUCAACCACGUGCUGAAUGAUUUUCAUUGCUCCUCACUUUUGCCUAACUGUGCCCCAGGCAGCUCCCUUGUUACUUGAUUCUAAAGCAGGGACAUAAUAUUCUCCUUGCUGUACUUUAUUAUUUCCUUCUUUUAUUUUUGCUCGCUUGUGCAAGGACAGAAAAAAGAAAGUAGCAGCUGGGCAAAAAUUUCUGAUCUUUAGAGCGUCGGUUCAUAUUUGCAUUCAGACUUUCAUGUGAAAUUGCAUCACUUGACCUUACUUGCUUCUCAGCUGCCUGCCUCUUAGAGCAUAAAAAUCCAACUUUUGAAUUAUAGACUGUAAAAAGUACUAAUUCUUUAAGCAGUCUCCUGAGAAGAGCACUUCACCAGAGUACAGCAGAAUGGAGAUAUCCUGUUCAUGUUGUUUAUGGUUGAGGAUACUUUCACAUGUUUUGGCUUGUAGACUUAAACAGGUUUUAGUGAGAGAUGGGAUCAUUUUGAUAAUCUCAUUUGAGUGCUGCAAAAUGUGUUCCUUGAAGCCACAGGCCCACCAAAAUACAACAUGUGUAUUCUUUAAUACACUUCCAAAAAAUCUUGGAAAAGCCAAAUGGCAUUAGACAGAUAAGUCUGGGAAGUGUUGACUGGUAAGUAAUCAAAGCGGCACAUUAACCGCUAAUCAGUGCAAUUCAGACUUUCAGUUGAGUCUUUUUUGUUUAGCAUUUUUCAUGGGAAUAUCACAUGGGAAGAUGAAAUUUCUUGCAUGAGUGAAACUUUGGGCUCUGAUUUGUGAUCUUUGCUAAUUAGUGCUGCAGUGAUGUCUUUAAAAAAAAAUCCCACAGUGCUGCUUUCCCACUGCCUGUGCCACGUGUUAGCUACCACUCCAGAACCAGCAGCAGUGAGGUCUGAGUCUUCCCAGGUGCUGACACACCAACCCGUGAACAGCAACAAAUUGAGAUCAAUGGUAGUUUAAAAUAAUACACUGGAGGCUGAGGAGCAGAUGGGCUGGCUAUGAAGGAGGUAACCUUGAGCACUGGGAGGGAGAACAGCUGAAAGUGGUGAAACUUUGAGCUAUUGUACAUCUGUAUUUGUGUAUAUUUCUUAGCCCCUGUGCUGGUUUUCUUAGAAAAGAUCAUGAGUUUGGUAUGAUUGUGUAAAAAAACAAACAAACAAAAAACACAACACCAUCAAGAGCUAACAAGUUACUAAAACCCAUGCUGUACAGACAGCAAAAAAGACCUAUUAUAUUAUUUCAUGUAAAUAACAGUGUCCUUUAAUACACAUGGCUGAGAUGAGUAACUUCCCCUUCCAUCUGGGCUAGGCCUGGGGAAACACAAGACCAGAGAUUGCUUCAGAAGGGAGGAGCAAGGUGAUCUCAAAACAAGACAAACUGGAAUGGUGUCAAAACGACCCGUCUGAUGGCACAGCAGGGGCUGCAGUGAUGGCAAAUCAGCAUCUGGUUGGCCCCAUUCUGAGGGAUGGAGGGAAGAAAACAAAAGGGGUUGGUAUCAAGGAUGGUGCGUGCAGCUGUUCUGCGCAGGUAGUAAAAGUACUCGUAGAUGUGUUCCUUCUCACAAGCUAGUUUAAAGCACAAUUUCUGAUAGUAUACUGUUCUUUUGUUUUAUGACUUCAAAAUAUUUUAAAUCUUGUCUUAAAAUUGAAGCGUAAUUUCCUCUAGAAACUCCUGUUCUAUGUUAAGGAAGAACCAGGGCUUUUAGUGAGUAGAAGUGCUGAUGUUCUGAUCUUUAUUCUUCGUUUAACCUUACCAUCAAUAGCAAAAGUGACAAAGUUUGGCACAAUCACUCCCCUAUGUUAAGGAUUUUCUACAAGAGGAGAUGUUACGUAAACUAAGCCCUUGCUUUUAAGUUUAAAUACAGUGUGCUUCAAUCACGUGUGUUCAAACAGCUGCUUGAGCUACAUUUGCCAGCAGCACGCUGCAAGGCCCUCGUGCUCUGCUGCUGUUCAUUUGCUCAGAAGAGGCUUCUUGAGAUAAAACACCACAAAUUUGGUCAGAAAAGGCAAAGCUGUGCAGAUCACAUCUGCACGGCUGGGCAUCUUCAUGCCCUGUCUGUGUCCAGCCCACAGGAGCAUGCAGCACAGGACUGAAGCAUUGGGAGGCUCCGCGGUGCUUUUCUCACAAAGGGAGCAAUGGCAGAAGGACCACGCAACCCAGCUGGGAGCUCAGGCAGCUGCUGCUGGGAAUCCUCGGCCGCAGGCAGAGGCUGAUGGCCAUCACCUUUGGCCCUUGUGGCGGUGAUGAAGCGAGCUGCGGAGUGCUUUUAAGUGCUUGUGAGCGGGCAGGGCGCAGAGCGCGGACAGC
This is a non-coding RNA of Meleagris gallopavo (turkey), 4369 nucleotides long. The record is from RefSeq and is a predicted model, not a curated record. Lineage: Eukaryota; Metazoa; Chordata; Aves; Galliformes; Phasianidae.